AGACAGCAGCCGCCACGGUAAUACAGAGGGUGCGAGCGUUAAUCGGAUUUACUGGGCGUAAAGCGUGCGUAGGCGGCUUCUUAAGUCGGAUGUGAAAUCCCUGAGCUUAACUUAGGAAUUGCAUUCGAUACUGGGAAGCUAGAGUAUGGGAGAGGAUGGUAGAAUUCCAGGUGUAGCGGUGAAAUGCGUAGAGAUCUGGAGGAAUACCGAUGGCGAAGGCAGCCAUCUGGCCUAAUACUGACGCUGAGGUACGAAAGCAUGGGGAGCAAACAGGAUUAGAUACCCCAGUAGUCCCUGUCUCUUAUAA
This 307-nucleotide ribosomal RNA is filed under the name uncultured bacterium. Its description in RNAcentral is "partial 16S ribosomal RNA". It matches the Rfam family "Bacterial small subunit ribosomal RNA", at positions 506 to 809 of the family's 1533-position model. The record is from RNAcentral.